This 2158-nucleotide long non-coding RNA is filed under the name Oryzias sinensis (Chinese medaka). RNAcentral describes it as "lncRNA (ENSOSIG00000016165.1)". Lineage: Eukaryota; Metazoa; Chordata; Actinopteri; Beloniformes; Adrianichthyidae. The record is from RNAcentral.
AAACAGUGAGACUAGCCUGACAGCCUGUUUACAGCUGAUUAAAUCUAGGUGGUGUUUUGACACUGCUCAAGUCUGAGUUGAUGUCAUUGUAACUGUCAGAAAACAUCAGAAUUCAAACUUCAUGUGCUCCAUGGGUGCAUUCAAAAGCACAAACUCCGAAAUCUCUGUUAAUGUAGUCUGGAUGAUGGUCAAAUGAGAUCAGCCGAUCUUUGGAUACGCUGUCAAAACCCCAUCAUCGGAUCACACCGAGGAUUCUUGGGCGUAAUCUCUAACAGACCAUGAAGAUGGAGGAAAACUGUCAAACAACAUAAAAAAAGGAAAGUCCAGAAGUGUCAGGACAGAACACAGGGCUGGACUCAGAUGCAGAGUUUAAGAGGUUUUAAUCCCUGAAAGACACUAUAGCUGUGGUACAUGAAUCACCCAAACAAACUGGCACAGGACAAAGGGAGACUCCGACUAUUUAAGGCACGAGGAAGGGAAACACAGGUGGAAACAAUCAGGGAAGAUUAAACAGUCACACCUGUAGAGAAUAGACAAGGGCAGGAAGUAACAAGGCCUGAAACAAGAGGAGACAAACAUGGACCAAAAGUGCACAACUCAGGACAUGAGAUGAGACUGAAGAGACUUGACAAGAAGAGUUUUCUGGAAGGAUUGGACCGACGGUGUUGCUGCUGACAGACGUUUAGUUGCGGCUGCUGCAGGUGGAUCUGCUGUAAAGACACACAAACCUGUGAGAGCUGAGAGCCUUUCUGCUGAAGCUGAAAACAUGACGCUGUGUUUUCAGGCCGGCGGCCAUUUCUGCUAUGAUGUGAUCUCUUUGAGUGUGUUAUUUAUGACCUGGGGGGUUGGAUUUUCUCAGCGUCAUCGUCCAUCAGGGCUUUUAUGGAUUGAUAAGUCUACGGUCAGCCUUCUCAGAGCUCGUAAACAGGACCACCUGACCAUCCCCAAUGCUCCUGUGGCAGACUGCCCCCCCUCUCCUCCCCGGACUGCGCCCCCCACCAUGAAGUCGGCCCACUUCUUCGACACGAUGGACAUGAUGGAGGUAAGACCGUCUUCGCCGCAGUUUUGAAUGCAUGUUUGCGUGAAACUCAACAAGCUGGAGACUCUACCCCAUGAUAUGGAAACUGUGUUUGGAGAGUGAAAGCGUCUUUCUUCCUCUGACAAACAGAAUUCUUCUGUAAGAACUAACACCAGAAGAAACCUGCUGCUGAACACACCUGUGAUUCUCAGAGUGUCUAGUGUUGACGCAUUCUGCUUUUUUGUGCCUCAAAAAUGUCCCGAGUCGAGUCUCCAGAGGAAUGUUAAUUCCUGUUUAACUGUUUCCUGUAUGAUUGGAAGUGCCUGAAGACCCCAAAGCUUCCUGGGAAAACCCACGUGGACCUCAAAGGUCUGAUGAGGCUCAGUUAAAUGUGGCAUUGAAGAAAGCAUUUAGGAGUUAUUGAAAUAACAAAAUAAAGUUCAAAUGUUCAUUUGAUCAUCAACUAAAUGAUUUCAAAUCCUAUACGCUGCUUCUAGUUAUAUUUGUGUUAUUUAAGUAUGCCUGCUUUUAAUCAAAUACAGUAAAAUUUUUAUACAUUUCAGAACAACAAUAAUUUAAUAAACAAUUUUAGAAUUUCAUCAAAUCUAUUAUUUUAAGCCACAUAAACAGUUUUAACAGGAAUUGUAGGAUUGUUUUGCACAUUAUUUUGCAGUGUUGGGAUUGGCAAUAUUUUGUUCCAUUUUAUGAUCUAAAAAAAGGGUUUGGGGGGGGGGGGGUUAGCUAUAUUUAGCACAAUUUUCCUUUUUUAAAUGUUCUACAAUUUUCAAUUUAAACUUGAAUGACACUUGGUUCUUUUUUUUCUGCCGUCUUCUGUUCUUUGAGCAUUUACCUCCUUUGUUAUUUGACGUUUUUUACGCAUGCAGAGUCACAUUUUGAGCAUUUGUCCUUUGAAGAUGUAAUGUCGACGAUAAAGAGAAGACAAGCGUGGUUUUAAACAAGGCUUGCAUUGUUUUGGUUAUAAAAUCCAGAGAUCUUGUUUUCUGACCUUGAUGACUGAUGUCCCUCUCUGGCAGCAGCCACUGCGAUCUUGCGUUGCGCUGAGUGAAUGGGAGGUGCUGUGAAAGGUUCAGGGGUGGGUUCAGACUCAACUGUGUCUUCUCUUCCUGACGGGGGUGCAGC